Molecule: long non-coding RNA, 3846 nt
Organism: Podarcis raffonei (Aeolian wall lizard)
Lineage: Eukaryota; Metazoa; Chordata; Lepidosauria; Squamata; Lacertidae
Exons: 2
Source: RefSeq, a predicted model, not a curated record
UAAAUCAUUUUUUAAAGAUGUAUUUGAAAGGAAGGUAUGCAGAAUAAUGCUUUUGUUGCCAAUGAUCUUUAAACUGGAAAAAAACCUAUAAAAUACUAUUAGAAUUGAUCUUUGAAAAUGUCCAUGUUAGCUGCACAAGGAGAAGUUAUAAUAAACUUUGGCACGCCUUACUAAUAUGAUUUUGCUCACAAUGUUAAGGUUAAGCAGUUCAAAAUUAUGGCUGCACAGACAACACUCCAAUUAGGUUGGAUUAGCACCAAGAAAACUUAAUGCAUACUAUUUAUAUUUUAUCAUGUGGAAGAACAUGUUAGAUAUAAAAGUCUGAUUUGGCUAAUAUUUUGAUGUAGGUUUCUAUAAUCAGAAGGACUUAAUGGCUAUCUAAUCUAGUCCUCUUUUCUAAAAUAGAAUAAGUGCAGUGUACCACAAGUGGAGAACAGAUACACUAUUAGAAGAUUCAAGGCAUUCAAGAAUGUCUUCAAUUGUAGAAAAAUAUACGGUAAGUUUUUAUACAUCUAAAUAAAAAGGUGUUUUGCUUUGUUCUAAAUAAUCACAUUCUCCCCCAGCUUAGUUGAAAAUGGAAUGUUGCCAAAUAUUUGGUAAUUUAAGUUGUGUAGAAAUGCUUAUAGAUGAAGAUCAGCAUUGUACAUUUUCUGUCUUCCUACAAUGUACUCUUUUUUGUUGUUGUUCUAUUUUAUAAAUUUCCUGAAAUUUGACCUUUCUGGCCUACAUUAAUGUUCUGUUAAAACUGUUUGUAGACAAUUAAUAGUACAUCUAUAGUAAAUAGUUUUACAAAUAAUGUGACUUAUUUAUGUUAUACUGAUAAAGAAGCUGGAUUGAAAGUGGAAAUAAGUUUAAGGCUUCUUUUUUUGAAACUCUUGAAUUACAAGCUGAAAUUAGAAAAGUUGAUGUAGAUGUUUUAUACAAAACAGUCCUGUGCAUGUUUGCCUAAGUAAGACGCAUGGUCUUCAGUGGGACUUAUUGUCUAGUAUGUGUGUUUAGGAUAGCAUCCUUAAAACAUCCUUUGAUCUGCACUUACAAGUAAAACUGUAGAUAAUUAAAUAUGUGUAUGAAAAAUUAUAUUUAUUUUUCUUACUUAAAUUAAACUACUGUAAUUUUUUAAUGCAUAGGAUAUGAGCUGCUCACAAACCCUUUUCUUUCUAGUUCAAAUGGAAAGUAUUUUUUAUUUUCUAAAAGAAAACAAAUCGUGCACAACAAACUUCAUAAUUAACUUCUGGACAUUUUCAGUUGCUUUCAGUGAACUGAAAGUUAGCAUGUAAAUAGAAGUUUGUUACGAUCUAGACUGUUGUGGCUCUUAAAUUACCUACAAUUCCUAUUUCAUUGUGGCUGCUGCAAAAGUCACCUACCUUUAUGGAAUGUCUUGUAGAGGAGGGCAGAUAUGUAGUGAUCUUUCUUAGGUAUUUUUAGAAUCCUUGUUUAAUUACGGUAACUUGCUGCUCCAUUUUAUUUCUCAGUUAUAAAAUUGUGUAUCUUUCUGCUUCUUAGGUUUGUUUUUGCACCCUUGUGAAUUUACCAGCACACUUAAUUACUUUAGUAGGUACUGUGUAGAACUUCUAGUCAGAAAAUUUAUAUUUGAUAGAAUGAAUUAUGAUUGUAAUUAUGAUUGUAUUAGAAACUAUUUUUAAUGGCAAAUAAUUGAAUUACACAUUAUACAUUUAAAGGUCCUAUUUUUUUUCUUUUCUAGAUUGGGGUGUAUCCAAUUUUUUGAUUUUUGAUUUAAUGGAAAGCACUUCCACUUGUUCAAGGCAAGGGCAACUUUUUCUGAUCACCCCAUUCACUACUGUUCAGUGACCCCCCCCCCCAAAAAAAUAGGUCCUGAUGGUUGGGGGAAUCGUUGAAAUCAGUAUGGGAUAUGGUGCAGAGGACUGCAGUCAGUACAGAAGGUUUGAGAAAAUGAGAUGUCCUGACUUGCACAAGUGAAGGCGCUUUCUGCUACUGCAAAGCUAUAACUGGACAUAAUCUGUUGGGCACAGUUACAUAUCAUAGGAAGUUACAGUUAUACUGUACCAUGAAAGAACAGAUUGUUCCUUCUUUGCUCCUCCUUGCUAAUAAUAAGCUGGAGCAAACCACAGCACAUGACUUAGUGUUAUGUCUGAACAAGGAACCAUGGUAAUUUUGCUCCAGCCAAACCAUACUCUUUGUUCUUGGCUUCCUGGCAUAACACUAAGUCAAGGAUUGUAGUUUGUUGCUCCCACUCACUAGUGAGAAAGGAGCAAAGGGGAGACAAUCUGCCUUUCAACAUUAACCACUGCUUAUGCUAUGAUGCAUGAAUGCAGCCACUGUAUUUUAGCAUCCUAAAGCAGGUGCAUAUGCAUCUUAAAGUGUUUGGCUAGCGUAAGCAAGUGUUAAAAGAAAAAAGAUUACAGGACUGUUGAACAGUAUUCUGAUUAAACAAGUAAUUUUUCGUAACUAGAGUGGAAUUAAACGUUCCAUCACCAGAAGAAUUUCUCCUUAUGUAACAGAACAGUCUCCCCUUUUUUCUCCUCCUGUGCCUCCUAAGUCUCUUCUAGGAUUUCUCUCAGUCCUCUGGAGCAGAUUUAGAGAUGGCGUGGGUUGUGGGGAGUCCUGUUACACAAGUGGAAGUUAUUUAGUUGAAUACGUGUUAGAAACUGAGAUGUGAAAGCUAGGAGCUAAAUGGCACCUUAAACCUAGCUUAUGGGCGCCACAAAAGAAUGUCUAACCACACUUUUUUAAUAACAAAAAUAAAUACAAAGCUGAAAAUGAAUUAACAGCAGCUAAAAUCUUAUGGUCGUUUUUCACAUGGUCUAGUCCUCAUCUGAUGACUGCAGAUGUCCCCUGCCCAUCCCCCUAAUAUACUUAAGAGGGUUCCUUCUCCAGUCUUCAGAGAGUGGCUGGAAGUGGGGAGGCAGAAAAAGGUCCUCAUUUCCUUCCACUCUGCAGGCAAGCUCUGGAUUCUCCCUACAACCCCUUUCCUUCAUAUAAAUAUAUCUUUUGGUGCAACAAUUAACACAUAUUAGAGGCCAAUACAACUGAUGGCAGAGACACCCACCUUGAGUGUCCAGUUCACAAAUCUAAGACUUCAGUGUCUUUCAAUAAUCCCACUGCAAAAUUUGUUUCGAUUUUAUUCAUCCCUGAGAGAGUCUGAGGUAGAUCACACUUUAGCAUGCACUACUUAAACCAAACCUAUUUAAGCCAAUCUGAGGCCACAGAGUGCAAAACACUGCCUUUCUGUAAGGGCAGCUGAGAGGUGGAACCUAUCAACUUGCCUGACACUGCAGCAAUCUCUAGGAAGUCCAGCGGGGAGGAAUUUCUCCUCCCGUGCCCUCAGCGUCUGCAAUGGCAGUUUUAAUCUGAUAUCUUAGGCACAGUACUGCACCCAGAGCUCAGAAACUGCUUGCUCUAAUGAAAUUCCCUGUCGCAAAAUGUGCCUAGAACAAUGGAAGUUUCAAACGCUGAAUACAUCCCACAAUUUUGAAAUACCAAUGUGACAAAAGCAAAUUUGUUGAGCUAUUUCUUGGCAGAAUGUUUUCCUUCUACCAUUCUUUUUCCAAAUCAUAACGUUCUCUGAACAACCUAAAAUAUAUUACCAAAUCCAAAUUCUUAGGUUUCAGGCAGUAUUUGUAGUCUGAAAUAAGUAGCUUAUCUGUUUCUUCCUUUUUUGGGUGGUGCUGUUGAAUUAAUUGAUGUGACUUCUACUACCUUUUGAUUUGUCUGUAAUUUUCAGGAAAUUGAAAAUAAUAGAUUGGUGCUAUAUAAGUUUAUUAUUCAACUAAGAUAAAUCUUAAAGUCACACUGACUUUGAGUGUAAAGAGUUCUGUACACCAGUUGGCUUCCUUUCACUGAAAUAAAUGAGCCAGUUGUUCAAGA